AAAGAAAUCAACCGAGAUUCCCCCAGUAGCGGCGAGCGAACGGGGAGGAGCCCAGAGCCUGAAUCAGCAUGUGUGUUAGUGGAAGCGUCUGGAAAGGCGCGCGAUACAGGGUGACAGCCCCGUACACAAAAGCGCAUGUGCUGUGAGCUCGAUGAGUAGGGCGGGACACGUGGUAUCCUGUCUGAAUAUGGGGGGACCAUCCUCCAAGGCUAAAUACUCCUGACUGACCGAUAGUGAACCAGUACCGUGAGGGAAAGGCGAAAAGAACCCCGGCGAGGGGAGUGAAAAAGAACCUGAAACCGUGUACGUACAAGCAGUGGGAGCACAGGUUUACCUGUGUGACUGCGUACCUUUUGUAUAAUGGGUCAGCGACUUAUAUUCUGUAGCAAGGUUAACCGUAUAGGGGAGCCGGAGGGAAACCGAGUCUUAACCGGGCGUUAAGUUGCAGGGUAUAGACCCGAAACCCGGUGAUCUAGCCAUGGGCAGGUUGAAGGUUGGGUAACACUAACUGGAGGACCGAACCGACUAAUGUUGAAAAAUUAGCGGAUGACCUGUGGCUGGGGGUGAAAGGCCAAUCAAACCGGGAGAUAGCUGGUUCUCCCCGAAAGCUAUUUAGGUAGCGCCUCGUGAAUUCAUCUCCGGGGGUAGAGCACUGUUUCGGCUAGGGGGCCAUCCCGGCUUACCAACCCGAUGCAAACUGCGAAUACCGGAGAAUGUUAUCACGGGAGACACACGGCGGGUGCUAACGUCCGUCGUGAAGAGGGAAACAACCCAGACCGCCAGCUAAGGUCCCAAAGUCAUGGUUAAGUGGGAAACGAUGUGGGAAGGCCCAGACAGCCAGGAUGUUGGCUUAGAAGCAGCCAUCAUUUAAAGAAAGCGUAAUAGCUCACUGGUCGAGUCGGCCUGCGCGGAAGAUGUAACGGGGCUAAACCAUGCACCGAAGCUGCGGCAGCGACACUCAGGUGUUGUUGGGUAGGGGAGCGUUCUGUAAGCCUGUGAAGGUGGCCUGUGAGGGUUGCUGGAGGUAUCAGAAGUGCGAAUGCUGACAUAAGUAACGAUAAAGCGGGUGAAAAGCCCGCUCGCCGGAAGACCAAGGGUUCCUGUCCAACGUUAAUCGGGGCAGGGUGAGUCGACCCCUAAGGCGAGGCCGAAAGGCGUAGUCGAUGGGAAACGGGUUAAUAUUCCCGUACU
This 1191-nucleotide ribosomal RNA is filed under the name Salmonella enterica subsp. enterica serovar Paratyphi A. RNAcentral's name for it is "partial 23S ribosomal RNA". It matches the Rfam family "Bacterial large subunit ribosomal RNA", at positions 218 to 1445 of the family's 2925-position model. The record is from RNAcentral. Lineage: Bacteria; Pseudomonadati; Pseudomonadota; Gammaproteobacteria; Enterobacterales; Enterobacteriaceae.